UGGGGAAUAUUGCACAAUGGGGGAAACCCUGAUGCAGCGACGCCGCGUGGAGGAAGAAGGUCUUCGGAUUGUAAACUCCUGUUGUUGAGGAAAACGGAUGGUACUCAACAAGGAAGUGACGGCUAACUACGUGCCAGCAGCCGCGGUAAAACGUAGGUCACAAGCGUUGUCCGGAAUUACUGGGUGUAAAGGGAGCGCAGGCGGGUAUGCAAGUUGGGAGUGAAAUACAUGGGCUCAACCCAUGAACUGCUCUCAAAACUGUGUAUCUUGAGUAGUGCAGAGGUAGGCGGAAUUCCCGGUGUAGCGGUGGAAUGCGUAGAUAUCGGGAGGAACACCAGUGGCGAAGGCGGCCUACUGGGCACCAACUGACGCUGAGGCUCGAAAGUGUGGGUAGCAAACAGGAUUAGAUACCCGAGU
RNAcentral lists this ribosomal RNA (417 nucleotides) under uncultured bacterium. RNAcentral's name for it is "bacterial SSU rRNA". It matches the Rfam family "Bacterial small subunit ribosomal RNA", at positions 355 to 791 of the family's 1533-position model. The record is from RNAcentral.